This 8072-nucleotide long non-coding RNA is filed under the name Phaseolus vulgaris (common bean). RNAcentral's name for it is "long non-coding RNA (PVUL_LNC002435)". The record is from RNAcentral. Lineage: Eukaryota; Viridiplantae; Streptophyta; Magnoliopsida; Fabales; Fabaceae.
AAAUAUUCAUAUUUGCUGCAAUAUUUUCUAUAAAAAAUUCAUAAAAAAAGAGUUUUGUACUGAUUUUCUGAUGAAUUCUGUAAAAUUUAACGAAAAUAUUAUUGCUGACAUGGGCCCCUUGUACCUGGAUAAUUUCUGUCCAUGCAUACAAAUUUUACAAAAUGAUUAAUUCAUGGAGUUUUGUAUCAGGUGCACACACUUUUGGUCGUGCCCAAUGCCAAUUUUUCUCCCAAAGAUUGUUGAACUUCAAUGGCACAGGAAGCCCUGAUCCUACCUUGAACACAACCUAUUUGGGCACUCUGCAACAAAAUUGUCCCCAAAAUGGAAAUGGAGCUACACUGAAUAACCUUGACCCUUCAACCCCUGAUACUUUUGACAACAAAUAUUUCACCAAUCUUCUCAUCAACCAAGGUCUUCUCCAAACAGAUCAAGAACUCUUUUCCACUGAUGGUUCUUCCACAAUCUCCAUUGUUAACAACUUUGCCAACAACCAAUCUGCCUUCUUUGAAGCUUUUGCUCAGUCCAUGAUCAACAUGGGUAACAUCAGUCCUUUGACAGGUACUCAAGGACAAAUCAGAACUGAUUGUAAGAAAGUAAAUGGAAGUUGAAGAAAGAGGGCAUAAAAUCUACCAAUACUUGUACAGUGCUGAUGCAUCAUGUAAUUUUUGGUUUGCAUCUGGGUAUCUGAGUGAAGCUAAGAAAUGGUUAAGAAAUUUAGAUAGCUCAAGAUUUUGCAUUUAUGUAUAUGAUUGAGAAUUUUCUCAAAAAAAAAUUAUGUCUAAAAGUGUCAUAUAUUUUAUGAAGGAGAGGAUUGUUCGAGGAUGUAUAACUUUGUUUUUUUUAAAGAUUAAGGUUUUUUUUUGUUCAUGUCAAAAAAAAAAUAUGAAAUAAAAACUAAUUUUAGAAAAAAAAAUAAUUAAUUGUUAUAGUGACUAAAUUAGAGAUAUUUUAGAAAUUAAAAAAAAUUAUUUUUUAAAUUAGUUUAUAUUAUUGUUAAAUAGUUUCUAAAUUGGUAUUUAAUUAGCUACCAAGGUUUUAACUAUCAAUUAUUUAGAUUCUAAAUUUGGUAGCAAAAACUUAGCUAAUUAGAUACCAAUUUAGAAAUCAUUUAACAAUAAUAGAAACUAAUUUAGAAACCAACAUUUUUUUUAAUCUCUAAAAUGAUCUCUAAUUUAGUUAUUAUAGAAACUAAUUAUUUUUUGUCUCUAAAAUUAGUUUUUAUUUCAUGAUUUUUUUGUAGUGUGUCACUGCUUGGAGGGUGACUGAAAAUAAGAUUGCUAGCAAAGUCAACCUGGAGAGACGACAGAUUUUAACUAGGAAUUCAUAAUGACCAUCCAUGGUUCUGAAAGUUGUCUUGUGAGUGUCAUUGGGGUUGAGCCUAACUUGGUGCUACCCUGAGUAUAAGUCUAUCUUCGUAAAAAUUGUAGUUGACCCCAGUUCAUCUAGCAAUUCAUCAAUAGUGAGUAUGGGGAAGCGAUCACGUAUGGUGACUGCAUUGAGGGCUUUGUGAUCAACACAAAAGUGCCAUGUGCCAUCUUUCUUUUUAAUGAGCAGGACUGACGAAGAAAAGGGGUUGUUACUGGGUUUGAUGAACCCUUCCUGCAGCAUGGUAUUUUUUUGAGAGUGAGGGUAACAGUAUGGGCGUACAUUAAUCGAGUCAGUGUUGGUAAGAGGGGGAUAUGGUGGUCAUGGGGGCGUGGUGGGGAUAGACCAUGGGGUGAUUUGAAUAUUGAUUGGUGUUUAUGUAAAAUCAUUUGAAUGGAUUGGGGUAAUUGGUACAACAAGGAGGAGGAUGUUUGCAUGCUAGAUUCCAGGGAGAUGGAAAGCGGGGAAUGGGUAUCAACUGACAAUAGAUGUAGGGAAGCAGGGAAGCAAUGGUGUUAGUGGCAAUGUUAUGUCAAACUUGAUGGUAAGUGUCUUGAAUUGGGGUUGGCGAGGUUGUAGUUGUGAGGGUGAUAUGUGUAUUGAGGUAAGUGAAGGAAAUACUGGGUAUAGAAAAAUCUACUUGAAUGUGGCCCAACUUGCGCAGCCAUUCAAUGCCAAGAACCACAUCAGCACCCUCUAUAGGGAGGAGAUAGAAGGGAAUAGUGAAAAUUGCAGUUUGGAUAGAUAUCUGGAUAGCAGGACAAAUGUUUUGGCAUGUUAUGGAGGCAUUGUUUCCUACCAUGACUCUAAAAGGUGGACUGGGCUGAAUGGGUAGGUGUAAGUGUCGGAGUUUAUGAGAACAGUGACCGACAAAUUGUGGAUGAGGCCUUGGAAUUUUAGUGUUUUGGGGGGAAAUUUCAUGUAAAUGUGUGGGGGGAUAGAUAGAAAUGGACUAUGUUUGUUGUGUGGGUGGGAUCAGGAGGGACGUCUAGGAUUUCGGAGACAGGUUUUGUAUCAUCUAAAAGUAAAAGAAAAUGUGAGGUGGAACAUUUGUGGCCUGGAAGAAAUUUUUCGUCACAGUUAUAACACAAGCCAAAAGCACUACGCUCUUGCAUCUGGGUUGGUGUAAGGUGUUUAAUUGGGAGGGUAUGGGUUGUAGGUGGUGUGGUUUGAGCACGGCUGGUGGAGGUGUUGGUGGGGUUAAAAGCAGUGGUGUAUGCAGGGGUCGGGUUGGUCUAGGUUUGGAAUCUUUGAAUUUGUCUUCAAUGAGCUUAGCUAGGCCAAUAGCUUGUGAGAUGGAAUAGGGGUUCAAAAUUGAAAAUUCUCUCCUGAUCUCAAGGUUGAGACCUGAUAUGAAACUUGAUGGUUGGUAUAUGAGGAAGAUCGCCCGAAAGGUAAUUCCAAGGAACGGGUGAAGGAAGGUCUAUCAGUAAUGAGAUUAUUUUGGUGCAUCCAUUUAAACCAGCUAAGAGCUUCUCCUUUCAUGUAAAAAGGAACCAUGGAUAACCUAUUUUCUGGGGAAAUAUGAUAAAAGUUAAAGUAUUGUUCUGCUUGGAAUAACCAAUUUAGAGGUUCAGGUCCUUAAAAAAAAAGUGAGUUGUAGUUUGGGUGGUCUUAGAGUUGGAGGAGGUGGGGUAACGAUGGUUGUGUGGUCAUGUGAAUUAGUAAAAGUUGAUGAUUGAAUAUGAGGUAAAGUAGCAACCUGGUCCUAUAACAGAGUAAGGGAAAAGUGGAGGAAAUCAUUUUUUACCUCAAGAUUGGUCUGGCAAGCUUCAUUAGACUUCAAUUAAGAUUGAAUGGAUGUGAGGCGGUCCUGGAUGGCCUGUAGGAGGUCUUCCAGUUCCUUGGAUUGCAGCUUGGGAGGCAUGGAGGAAGACAAAUGAAAGCACCAAUGAUAAAGUAAACUACCAUAGCUACAAUAUUAACCAAUACUCGGGAAAAGAUACUAGGAUAAAAAGUUCUCUACCCUUUUAUUUACACAGAUAGCAUCACUUAUAUAGUGGUGCUUUAGGUUACAAAAUUUAGGUUAUACUCUGGGGUCAUUACUUUUUACUACAAGCACCUCCCUAUAUGUAGUCCCUCAUUCAUAAAGGCUGUUUGUUUUGUCAGUCUUGUCCACUCGCAGGUUUCUUCUACCAAAACUGUAUUACACUAUUCUAAUGUAUAGGAUAUUAGGACUCGCUUUUCUGCACAUUCUUCCUUUGGUUCUCUUGUAUUUUUCUCAUCAUAAGCUGAUUCUCUAUUCUUCAUACAAGUACCAAUGUUCAUAAUUCUGCUUUAUCGUUAUAAUGUUUGUUAUUUUCCUUGAAUGAUGAGCAAUAUGAUGAAAAGUGGUUUCAUAUGACAACCUUUUCAGUUACAAUCUUCUUCCAAUACCUUAUGAAGUUGUUGCUACUGAUACUAAUAUUGCUUUAAAAUAAACAUGCAACAAUGGUUUUAAAACUGACUCAAUUGUUUUGGUUAGGUCCAGAGAAUCUUUCCUGUGUCCAUAAAGAAAUUGUGUUUAAGAAAAAAGAAAAAGACGUUUUUGGUGAAUGAAUACUAUUAAUUGCUGGACUGCAGAAUCCAUAUUAAAAUAGAUUUCAACAUACCAAAGGAAACAAUGUGUCGGCGAGCAAAUAAUUUCCAAUGCUCACUUAAUUAUUUUCUAAGCAUAAUUCUAGACUACAUGUACCCAUAGUAUUCAUUUAAAUAAGUAUUAAUAACUAAAUUUAGAAACUAAAAAUAAUUAUUAACUAUAUUAAUUAAAUUAAAUACUAAUUUAAAAAUUAAAAAAUUAUUCAUAUUUAAAAUAGUUUUUAUUAUUAAUAAAAAAUUAUAAAAUAGUUUUUAAAUUUGUAUUUAAAUUAAUUACCUAGUUUUUAACAACUAAUAACUUAGAUUCUAAAUUAGUUGCUAAAAAUUAAUAGAGAUUAAUUUAAAAUAUAAAGUAAUAAGUAGUUAAAAUUUUGAUAAUUAAUUGUUAGAUAACAAUUUAAAAAUCAUUUUAUAAAUUUUUAUUAAUUAUAAAAACUAUCUAAAUAUCAAUAAUUUUUUAAUUUAUAAAAUAUCCCUAAUUUAAUCAAAUAGUAAUUAAUUAUUUCAUCUCUAAAAUUAGUUUUUAUUUAAUAAUUUUUUUUAAGUAAUAAAUAAGUUAAAGCAAAUUGUAACUAUCAUACCAAAUUCUCAAAAAAUAAAAUAAAAUCCUAUAUAUAAUUUGUGACCCAAACAUUUCAUCUCGUCAAUUCAUGGGAUUUAGUCAAACCCAUUUUUCCUAACUACAAUGAAAAUUUGAGAGGAGGAAAAUGGAGAAGAGUGUCCACAAAUAUUUAAAACUAUUAUAAAUUCUAAAAACUAAAACUCAAAAACACUUUUUUUUCAUAAGCUUUCGUUUAAAAAUAUUUUAAUUAUCCAAAUCAUAGGGAUUUUCAAAUUAAGUUUACUACUCAUAUAACAAUUUAUAUAAUAUUUUUUUUUCAUCACAUCAUUCAGUAGCAUGUGGAUCUCCCAAAAAAUAUUUCACUUCCUAUAGUAGCCCAAAACGAGCCCAAAGGUUCCCAACAUCAGUUCUGCGCCCUAAAUACCUAUAACAUAUUACUUAUAAUAUGAUAUUUAAUGUUCAAAUAUUUAUUCAAUAUAGAAGAAAUUCAUACUUAAUAAAUAUUCUUAGACCUUAUUUACAAAGGAUUACUUUAAAGUAAUAUUAAAAUCAUGUUGAAAAAAUACUUGAAAAAUGUUUUAAAUGAACUUAUUAAUAAUGAAGAUUGAGUUAUUUUUAAUCUCAUGUAUUGGUUAAUUUUAAUGUUACAAUUUUGCUUGAUACAUUCUUUAUAAUGAAAACACACCUUAUUUAACUAAAAAUUCACAAUUGAAUGAAAUUAAUCAAUAAUUCCCUAGGAAUAUGAUAAUUUUUUAAAAAACUAUAAUUAAAUAUAGGCACAUCUACCAAAUAAAAAAAAUUAUUUCUGCCAAAAAAUUUCAAACCUGCACAAAAUAUAUAAAAUUUAUCAUUUAGAAUCAGUCAUAUGACAAUAAUUGUCAUUGACUGAUAUCAAGUUUUUAGAAAAUUUCUUAAUGAAAGUACUUAUAAAGAAAAUAUCAAAUAAAUUAAACUUUUUUCAUGCCACUAAGUUAAAAUCAAUAUAUAUAUAUAUAUAUAUAUUUAUUUUAACUAAUAAAAAAUAUGUUUAUUUAUUUUUAUGUUGACAAAUUUAUCGAAAAUAAGUUCAUAUUAUUAGUACAAUCCAAACUUGUGAUAAAAUAAUUUAUCUUACUUUUAUGCAGCGAAAUAAACAAUCAUGUUUUUAUCACUACAACAAUAAUUAUUUUUGUCUCACUAUAACAAUAAUAGAAUGAUUGGUGAGUAAUAAGUGAUAUUUAUAAUACUCUUGAAAAAAAAAUAGGACUAUUGAUGAUUAAUAAGUAAUAUUUGUAAUAUUUUUUAUUAAAAAAAUAUUGAUGAUUAAGGAAUGUGAAGAAAUGUUCUCUUUUUAUUAUUAUUAUAACACUUGUUGAUCAUUGUUUGAAUAUUUAAACAAAAUUAAUUUUUAUAUGACUCAAGAUAUUAAAGAUUUAUAUGGAUUAGAGAUAUUUUAUGGUAUAUAAAUAAUUAUAAAUUUUAUUUUAUAAAUUAAUUUUGUAAAUUUGAGUUAGAGAUACUGAUAAAAAAAAAUUGCAUGCAAAAUAAUAUAUAUUAAUAUAAUACUUUUAUUAAUGCAUAUGACUUCAUUAGUACUUCAACUUAGUUAAGUUUCAAUCAUUGUGGUUUUAUUUUCUGCUUUAGUUGUCCCCUAGUGAACCCAUUACACAUUCAAAAUUGACAGCAACUUAAACUAUAUGUCUAGUUGACAAUUCUAACUAACUUCAUCUUAAAGAAAUAGGCCUUCAUAUAAUUAACAACCCCUACAAACUUUAAUUACCUUCUCACAACUCUUUAUAAUAAUUUUUAAUUCAAUAAUUUAACUUAUAUUCCAAUUAAAUAACUUAAUAUUUUAUUAUUAAAACCAGUUAAAGAGUUUUCUUCCAAAGAAAAAUAAAGUAAAAAAAAUGAAUGACGCGCUUUUUCUCUUCUAUAUAUACACAUACCACCUAUAUUAUGAAUCAGAAAAAACCCACCAACAUCUGCGAAUCAAUACAUAAAAUUAUGAACCAUGUUUUCUACUAACAACACUUAUUAUUAUUCCCUUGUGGCCACCAUUUUGUUAGUGUUAACAUUUGUGUUUCCUUCAGAAGGGCAAUUGAGUGCAAGCUUCUAUUCCAGCACCUGCUCCAAUGUGUCAUCUAUUGUGAGGGAUUCUGUGCAGCAGGCUUUGACAUCUGAUUCACGUAUUGCUGCAAGCCUCAUUCGUCUCCACUUUCAUGAUUGCUUUGUCGAUGUAAGCUUCCAUCCUCCAUUUCUUUUUUCUUUCUACCUUUUUUCUGGUGUCAUUAUAGGAUUAAUGAAGGUUUCAUCUUGUAUUACUACUAAAUUUUUCUGUGUUUGUUCUCUUGUUGAACAGGUUAAGUGUGUUAUUGUGUCUGAAAUGUGUUUUGUAUGGUUGGAUUAGUCUUUUGUACAUGAGUCGGAUCACUCGUGAAACGAUUCGAUUCAUAUAUAUUGUUUAUUGAUGAAGUAUUAAUAAGUGUUGUUUGUGUUUGUGUGAUUAGGGGUGUGAUGGGUCCAUUUUGCUGGAUGUAGGUGGUAACAUAACAGAGAGUGAGAAAAAUGCAGCUCCCAAUGAGAAUUCGGUUCGGGGAUUUGAUGUGGUUGACAGCAUAAAGAGCACCAUCGAAGCUUCAUGUCCUGCUGUUGUAUCUUGUGCUGAUAUUCUUGCACUUGCAGCUGAAGCUUCUGUGUCCUUAGUAACUUUCUGAUAACAAUCUCUUACAACAUUUUCCUUUUUCUCAAUAUAAAAUACACACAGACUUUGAAAGUACUUAUAAGAAGAUUGUUCUUGUGUGUUUCGAACUUUCAUAAUAAAUCACUGAAGUUGACCUAAUUAACUGUUUUAAAUUCUCAUAAUAGACAAAAGUUCCUAUACAUUUAAAAUAACAGUUGUGUUUAUAGAUUCUUUAAUGAAGUGUAAAUUUUUGCAGUCACAGGGUCCUUCAUGGACUGUAUUACUUGGAAGAAGAGACAGUGUGACUGCAAAUCAAGGUGGUGCCAACACUUCCCUUCCAUCUCCUUUUGAAAACCUAACCAAUGUCUCAUCCAAAUUCUCUGCUGUUGGCUUAGACACAACUGAUCUUGUUGCAUUAUCUGGUAAUAAUAAUAUAGUUUUGUUAUGUUUUUGAACAAGGGUUGAAACACUAUUAAAUUAUUAAUGUUUAUUAUUUUUUAUUUGUUGGUAAAAAAAAAUAAUAUGAAGAAGUUAAAAGGAUAAAAUAGAAAAUUUUGUAAAGUAUUUAUAAAGUGUUUGAAUAAAAUUGAACUUUGAUUAGGUGCACACACCUUUGGUCGUUCCCAAUGUCAAUUCUUCUCCCAGAGAUUGUUGAACUUCAAUGGCACAGGAAGCCCUGAUCCUACCUUGAACACAACCUAUUUGGGCACUCUGCAACAAAACUGUCCCCAAAAUGGAAAUGGAGCUACAUUGAAUAACCUUGACCCUUCAACCCCUGAUACUUUUGACAACAAAUAUUUCACCAAUCUUCUCAUCAACCAAGGUCUUCUCCAAACAGAUCAAGAACUCUUCUCCACUGAUGGUUCUUCCACAAUCUCCAUUGUUAACAACUUUGCCAACAACCAAUCU